UAUGUGUGUGUGUGUGUGUGCGUGUACAUAUAUAUAUAUAUGUACACGCACACACACACACACACAUAGU
RNAcentral lists this microRNA precursor (70 nucleotides) under Marmota monax (woodchuck). The record is from RNAcentral. Lineage: Eukaryota; Metazoa; Chordata; Mammalia; Rodentia; Sciuridae.